AUUGAACGCUGGCGGCAGGCCUAACACAUGCAAGUCGAACGAGAGGCGGACGGGCGAGUAAUGUCUGGGAAACUGCCUGAUGGAGAGGGAUAAAUACUGGAAACGGUAGCUAAUACCGCAUACCAUCAGAUAUGCCCAGAUGGGUUUAGCUAGUUGGUGGGGUAACGGCUCACCAAGGCGACGAUCCCUAGCUGGGCUGCGAGGAUGACCAGCCACACUGGAACUGUGACACGGUCCAGACGCCUACGUGAGGCAGCAGUGGGGAAUAUUGCACAAUGGGCGCAAGCCUGAUCCAGCCAUGCCGCGUGUAUGAAGAAGGUCUUCGGGUUGUAAAGUACUUUCAGCGGGGAGGCGUUACCCACAGAAGAAGCACCGGCUAACUCCGUGCCAGCAGCCGCGGUAAUUC
RNAcentral lists this ribosomal RNA (406 nucleotides) under uncultured bacterium. RNAcentral describes it as "partial 16S ribosomal RNA". It matches the Rfam family "Bacterial small subunit ribosomal RNA", at positions 30 to 526 of the family's 1533-position model. The record is from RNAcentral.